AUGGGGGCCGUCGCGGGUCGCGGUCGUGCAAGCGCGCCCGGCAUGACGCAGAGGCCUGCAGCUCCAGGAGGGCCGGCGUCGAGCCGUGGCGCUCCAAGCAGACACGCGAACGUGGCCGACUCUUCCGCAACAACAGCCAGGGCGCGUGGGAUUGCUUCUUCGAUCUCGACGAGGCGCUUUUCCCACACACGAAGAGGUGUCGGGAGGUGGACGAGGAGCUCCUGGCCGCGCAGAACGCGGUGGCGUCGUCGAACGGCGGAAAAGGAAGAGCACACAUACGCCCAUGCACGCUGGAGGUCGGCCGAGGCAUUUAACUCGGCGUCAAGAACUGAUUGGCUGGCCAUCCCUAGGUUUAAACCAGUUCGAUCUAUGUUUUCAUGCUACUAG
Molecule: ribosomal RNA, 387 nt
Filed under: Triticum aestivum (bread wheat)
Lineage: Eukaryota; Viridiplantae; Streptophyta; Magnoliopsida; Poales; Poaceae
Description: partial small subunit ribosomal RNA
Source: RNAcentral